ACUCCUACGGGAGGCAGCAGUGGGAAUAUUGCGCAAUGGGCGAAAGCCUGACGCAGCGACGCCGCGUGCGGGAUGAAGGCCUUCGGGUUGUAAACCGCUGUCGGGAGGGACGAAUGCCCCGCAAGGGGAGUGACGGUACCUCCAAAGGAAGCACCGGCUAACUCUGUGCCAGCAGCCGCGGUAAUACAGAGGGUGCGAGCGUUGUCCGGAAUCACUGGGCGUAAAGGGCGCGUAGGCGGCCCGGUAAGCAGGGGGUGAAAUCUUGCGGCUCAACCGCAAAGGCUGCCUUCUGAACUGUCGGGCUGGAGCACGGUAGAGGCAGAUGGAAUUCCCGGUGUAGCGGUGGAAUGCGUAGAGAUCGGGAAGAACACCAGUGGCGAAGGCGGUCUGCUGGGCCGUUGCUGACGCUGAGGCGCGACAGCGUGGGGAGCAAACAGGAUUAGAUACCCGGGUAGGCUCUGCU
Molecule: ribosomal RNA, 463 nt
Filed under: uncultured bacterium
Lineage: Bacteria
Description: bacterial SSU rRNA
Rfam family: Bacterial small subunit ribosomal RNA
Source: RNAcentral